UAUUGUGAUGUUUUUAUCAGCUGUUUGGACUCGCAUUCUGAUGGCACCCAUUCACUGCAAAGCAUCCAUUGCUGAUACACUGAUGCACUGCUACAUUUCUACAAACCUGAUGAAGAAACAAACUCAACUUGGAUGGCCUGACGAUGCUGAGACAAACACCUUUGGAAUGCCUCUGGGGCUGAUGAGAUCCCAAACGGAGGCCGUGAAAGCUGUACCUCCCUAAGGGGCCACUGGAACUUUCCUGGGAGGAUGAAUCACUGGCUUUGUCCAAAUGUGAUGGACUCCCGUUACACAACCCAG
Molecule: long non-coding RNA, 300 nt
Organism: Sinocyclocheilus anshuiensis
Lineage: Eukaryota; Metazoa; Chordata; Actinopteri; Cypriniformes; Cyprinidae
Exons: 3
Source: RefSeq, a predicted model, not a curated record